Molecule: ribosomal RNA, 294 nt
Filed under: uncultured Pseudomonas sp.
Lineage: Bacteria; Pseudomonadati; Pseudomonadota; Gammaproteobacteria; Pseudomonadales; Pseudomonadaceae
Description: partial 16S ribosomal RNA
Rfam family: Bacterial small subunit ribosomal RNA
Source: RNAcentral
GUAACGAGCGCAACCCUUGUCCUUAGUUACCAGCACGUUAUGGUGGGCACUCUAAGGAGACUGCCGGUGGACAAACCGGAGGAAGUGGGGAUGACGUCAAGUCAUCAUGGCCCUUACGGCCUGGGCUACACACGUGCUACAAUGGUCGGUACAAAGGGUUGCCAAGCCGCGAGGUGGAGCUAAUCCCAUAAAACCGAUCGUAGUCCGGAUCGCAGUCUGCAACUCGACUGCGUGAAGUCGGAAUCGCUAGUAAUCGUGAAUCAGAAUGUCACGGUGAAUACGUUCCCGGGCCUU